CCUACGGGAGGCAGCAGUAGGGAAUAUUGCUCAAUGGGGGAAACCCUGAAGCAGCAACGCCGCGUGGAGGAUGAAGGUUUUCGGAUUGUAAACUCCUUUUGUUAGAGAAGAUAAUGACGGUAUGUAACGAAUAAGCACCGGCUAACUCCGUGUCAACAGCCGCGGUAAUACGGAGGGUGCAAGCGUUACUCGGAAUCACUGGGCGUAAAGCGGGCGUAGGCGGGAUAGCAAGUCAGAUGUGAAAUCCUAUGGCUUAACCAUAGAACUGCAGUUGAAACUGUUAUUCUAGAGUAUGGGAGAGGUAGGUGGAAUUCUUGGUGUAGGGGUAAAAUCCGUAGAGAUCAAGAGGAAUACUCAUUGCGAAGGCGACCUGCUAGAACAUAACUGACGCUGAUGCGCGAAAGCGUGGGGAGCAAACAGGAUUAGAUACCCCUGUAGUC
This 440-nucleotide ribosomal RNA is filed under the name uncultured bacterium. Its description in RNAcentral is "partial 16S ribosomal RNA". It matches the Rfam family "Bacterial small subunit ribosomal RNA", at positions 338 to 795 of the family's 1533-position model. The record is from RNAcentral.